Molecule: non-coding RNA, 30 nt
Filed under: Homo sapiens (human)
Lineage: Eukaryota; Metazoa; Chordata; Mammalia; Primates; Hominidae
Source: RNAcentral
GGCCUAGGGAGUUUCUUCAGAACCCCAGUA